RNAcentral lists this ribosomal RNA (441 nucleotides) under uncultured bacterium. RNAcentral's name for it is "partial 16S ribosomal RNA". It matches the Rfam family "Bacterial small subunit ribosomal RNA", at positions 338 to 795 of the family's 1533-position model. The record is from RNAcentral.
CCUACGGGUGGCAGCAGUGGGGGAUAUUGCACAAUGGGGGAAACCCUGAUGCAGCGACGCCGCGUGAGUGAAGAAGUAUUUCGGUAUGUAAAGCUCUAUCAGCAGGGAAGAAAAAAGACGGUACCUGACUAAGAAGCCCCGGCUAACUACGUGCCAGCAGCCGCGGUAAUACGUAGGGGGCAAGCGUUAUCCGGAAGUACUGGGUGUAAAGGGAGCGUAGACGGCAGUGCAAUUCGGAAGUGAAAUGCGCGGGCUCAACCCGCGUACUGCUUUGGAAACUGUACGGCUGGAGUGCUGGUGAGGUAAGCGGAAUUCCUAGUGUAGCGGUGAAAUGCGUAGAUAUUAGGAGGAACACCAGUGGCGAAGGCGGCUUACUGGACAGUAACUGACGUUGAGGCUCGAAAGCGUGGGGAGCAAACAGGAUUAGAUACCCUUGUAGUC